UAGUGGCGCACGGGUGAGUAACACGUGGGAACCUGCCUUUCGGUUCGGGAUAACGUCUGGAAACGGACGCUAACACCGGAUACGUCCUUCGGGAGAAAGUUUACGCCGAGAGAGGGGCCCGCGUCCGAUUAGGUAGUUGGUGGGGUAAUGGCCCACCAAGCCGACGAUCGGUAGCUGGUCUGAGAGGAUGAUCAGCCACACUGGGACUGAGACACGGCCCAGACUCCUACGGGAGGCAGCAGUGGGGAAUAUUGGACAAUGGGGGCAACCCUGAUCCAGCAAUGCCGUCGUGAGUGAUGAAGGCCUUAGGGUUGUAAAGCUCUUUCGCACGCAACGAUGAUGACGGUAGCGUGAGAAGAAGCCCCGGCUCACUUCGUGCCAGCACCCGCGGUAAUACCAAGGGGGCGAGCGUCGUUCGCACUUACUGGGCGUACAGGGCGCCUACGCUGUCUGUUUACUCAGAAGUGAAACCUUCGGUUUUUACCUGGCCACGGUUUCUUUUCUUCGCCUGCCACUUCCUCCCUCCCUUCUGGAUUACUUCCCUAUUCAUAGUCUAUCUUCUAUUUCAUUAUGAAACAUACUCAAACAAUCCAUCCUGAUUUUACUCUCUUUCUCAUUUCAUCCCUUCCAUCCUUCUAUUCCUUCAGACCUUCUGUUAUUUUACUUCUUCAAUAUUUCUCUUAUUUUUCUCUUAUUUUCCCUAUGUUCUCUGUUU
This 715-nucleotide ribosomal RNA is filed under the name Azospirillum sp. Azo_LR1. Its description in RNAcentral is "bacterial SSU rRNA". The stretch from base 1 to 545 matches the Rfam family "Bacterial small subunit ribosomal RNA". Lineage: Bacteria; Pseudomonadati; Pseudomonadota; Alphaproteobacteria; Rhodospirillales; Azospirillaceae. The record is from RNAcentral.